UAGCUAGUUGGUAGGGUAAAGGCCUACCAAGGCGACGAUCGGUAGCUGGUCUGAGAGGAUGACCAGCCACACUGGAACUGAGACACGGUCCAGACUCCUACGGGAGGCAGCAGUGGGGAAUAUUGGACAAUGGGGGCAACCCUGAUCCAGCAAUGCCGCGUGUGUGAAGAAGGCCUGAGGGUUGUAAAGCACUUUCAGUGGGGAGGAGGAUUGCCAGGUUAAGAGCUAGGUAAUUGGACGUUACCCACAGAAGAAGCACCGGCUAACUCCGUGCCAGCAGCCGCGGUAAUACGGAGGGUGCAAGCGUUAAUCGGAAUUACUGGGCGUAAAGGGUGCGUAGGUGGUUGGAUAAGUUAUCUGUGAAAGCCCCGGGCUCAACCUGGGAAGGUCAGAUAAGACUGCUCGACUCGAGUAUAGGAGAGGGUAGUGGAAUUUCCGGUGUAGCGGUGAAAUGCGUAGAGAUCGGAAGGAACACCAGUGGCGAAGGCGGCUACCUGGCCUGAUACUGACACUGAAGCACGAAAGCGUGGGGAGCAACCAGGAUUAGAUACCCUGGUAGUCCACGCUGUAAACGAUGUCAACUAGUUGUUGGUGAUAUGAAUAUCAUUAGUGACGA
Molecule: ribosomal RNA, 616 nt
Filed under: uncultured Legionella sp.
Lineage: Bacteria; Pseudomonadati; Pseudomonadota; Gammaproteobacteria; Legionellales; Legionellaceae
Description: bacterial SSU rRNA
Rfam family: Bacterial small subunit ribosomal RNA
Source: RNAcentral